GGGAGCUGGCGGCAGCUACCAUGCAGUCGAGCGGUAACAGAUCCAGCUUGCUGGAUGCUGACGAGCGGCGGACGGGUGAGUAAUGCAUAGGAAUCUGCCCGAUAGUGGGGGAUAACCUGGGGAAACCCAGGCUAAUACCGCAUACGUCCUACGGGAGAAAGGGGGCUUCGGCUCCCGCUAUCGGAUGAGCCUAUGUCGGAUUAGCUAGUUGGUGAGGUAACGGCUCACCAAGGCGACGAUCCGUAGCUGGUCUGAGAGGAUGAUCAGCCACAUCGGGACUGAGACACGGCCCGAACUCCUACGGGAGGCAGCAGUGGGGAAUAUUGGACAAUGGGGGGAACCCUGAUCCAGCCAUGCCGCGUGUGUGAAGAAGGCCCUCGGGUUGUAAAGCACUUUCAGCGAGGAAGAACGCCUAGCGGUUAAUACCCGCUAGGAAAGACAUCACUCGCAGAAGAAGCACCGGCUAACUCCGUGCCAGCAGCCGCGGUAAUACGGAGGGUGCAAGCGUUAAUCGGAAUUACUGGGCGUAAAGCGCGCGUAGGUGGCUUGAUAAGCCGGUUGUGAAAGCCCCGGGCUCAACCUGGGAACGGCAUCCGGAACUGUCAAGCUAGAGUGCAGGAGAGGAAGGUAGAAUUCCCGGUGUAGCGGUGAAAUGCGUAGAGAUCGGGAGGAAUACCAGUGGCGAAGGCGGCCUUCUGGACUGACACUGACACUGAGGUGCGAAAGCGUGGGUAGCAAACAGGAUUAGAUACCUGGGGUAGUC
Molecule: ribosomal RNA, 763 nt
Filed under: Halomonas sp.
Lineage: Bacteria; Pseudomonadati; Pseudomonadota; Gammaproteobacteria; Oceanospirillales; Halomonadaceae
Description: bacterial SSU rRNA
Rfam family: Bacterial small subunit ribosomal RNA
Source: RNAcentral